Molecule: ribosomal RNA, 565 nt
Filed under: Leptobrachium huashen
Lineage: Eukaryota; Metazoa; Chordata; Amphibia; Anura; Megophryidae
Description: partial 16S ribosomal RNA
Rfam family: Bacterial large subunit ribosomal RNA
Source: RNAcentral
CAAAAACAUCGCCUUUUGAAUUAUAUAAAAGGUAACGCCUGCCCAGUGACAUCAUGUUCAACGGCCGCGGUAUUCUGACCGUGCGAAGGUAGCGUAAUCACUUGUCUUUUAAAUAAAGACUAGUAUGAAUGGCACCACGAGGAUUUAGCUGUCUCCUUAAACUCAUCAGUGAAACUGAUCUCCCCGUGCAAAAGCAGGGAUAAACACAUAAGACGAGAAGACCCUAUGGAGCUUAAAACAUUAAGCUGCCUAUGAUUUCUGCUUAAUAAACAGCAAUAUAACAAUAGGCCCAGCCUACGUUUUCAGUUGGGGUGACUAUGGAGAAAAACCUAUCCUCCAUGAAGAAACAAGCCUUGAGUUCCCGCUCUACGCAUUAACAAGCCUAACUUUACUUGAUCCAAUUUUUUUUGAUCAACGGACCAAGUUACCCUAGGGAUAACAGCGCAAUCCAUUUCAAGAGUCCUUAUCGACAAAUGGGUUUACGACCUCGAUGUUGGAUUAGGACACCCUAGUGGUGCAGCCGCUACUAACGGUUCGUUUGUUCAACGAUUAAAGUCCUACGUGA